This is a long non-coding RNA of Hibiscus syriacus, 3889 nucleotides long. RefSeq lists it as uncharacterized. The record is from RefSeq and is a predicted model, not a curated record. NCBI's taxonomy places the organism in Eukaryota, Viridiplantae, Streptophyta, Magnoliopsida, Malvales, Malvaceae. The transcript has 2 exons.
GAUACAAAGCCAACAAGUGAAUGCAUGUUCUAAGGUGGAACCUUUUUAGUUAUUUUUUUCUUCCUUUUUAUAGUUCUUGAUUGCUUGCUUCUAUGGAAGAUCGUGGCUAUUUUUCUUUUCAAGUUUUGAUUUUGAAAACUGCAUAUUUUUUUUUCUUCUUGCAAAUUCAGUUUGCAGUAUACCCUUUUUCUUUUUGGCCCAUGAUUCAGAAAUUCAUUGAAAUGGAGCAGUUAUUUCCGGUUUUCAUUCUGGGCUUUUGCUAUCGGCCAUGGCAUGGACAGUAUCUGGCUUUCAAUUUCCUUUUCUUUGGUUUUUAUGCGACUCUCUCUCUCUCUCUCUCUCUCUCUCUCUCACAAGCUGAUUUGGUGAAGGCUCUUAAUGGAAACCGGUUUAUUAAAACUUCGAUGACCAAUCGUAGCUAUGAGAUCUGAGGGCAUUUUGCAUGGUUUCUCGGCAUGUCUUGCGCUUAGCAGCUUCAUCUCCUUCAAUGACUGCUUUCUGCAAGCUAGGCUCGACAAUUUUCCCUUUCUUAUAAUUUCAGGUUGCUCUUGAGUGUAGCAAGUCAUUAAGCUUAAUGAUUUGACCUGCUUUCAUACGUGGUCCAUGAUAAGAGCAAUUGAUUUGGGUAGUUUCCUUGAUUUCACUAUGAACCUCCCAUCAUUGUUGCUUUUAUUACCCUGAAGGUGUGGUAUUCUGCAUUGGCUUUUAUGAAAAUCCUGAGUUUCACUAUCAUUUGAUUAUGACACUGAUGAUAUCCGAUGCUAUUACUUUUUCCAUAAGCAACACCUGGAUAAAACUUUUCAACGCGAAAAAUGUUUUUCCUUCAAAUAUGUUUUACAUGCAGUGUGAAUCAGAGAUUAGUUGCAUGGUAUGAAUGGUUUUGAAGUGAAUAUAAACCGAUUGAUUACAGUGCAGAAACAAAAUUCCUUUCCUUCCCCUUACUAAUUUUAACUAUCUAAACAAAAAAAUAUGUAUAUCAUUUCCUUUCCUUUCUAAUUAUGUAUCCAAAGGUAGUGUCAGAGUUUUUAUCUUCCAUUAAACGCUUAUUAAGUUGCUUAGAACAAAUUCCUUUUCAGUUAGUAGAUCAUUGUUUUUCUUUCUUUCUUUAUAUCUGUGUGUAUGAGAAAAAAACUUUAAUGUCGAUGCACAUGCAGCCUAGGAAGCUUUUGACUCACCCAAGCUUUCAAUCUUUUGGAGAUCACAUUGUAAAACUAUUCUUUUCUUUAAUUUUUGGUUUAAAGGAUGUUGUUAAACAAGUUGUAGUAACAAAAUUUCAAUUUUAUUCAUGGGAGAACGUUUGGUUAGCGAUGAAAAUUAUUUUUUGUUUGAUUUAGUCUUUCAUGUGCUAACACUGGUUUCUUAUUACUGAAAUCGCUUCUGUUUUGUACUGAUGGGGAAAGAACCUUUUUGUACGAUUUUAGUUAUUGUAUCAUGCUUUUUUCUUUUCUUUUCCUUUUCUUUUUUUGGCUUUGUUUAUGAUUUUUGCACAAUGAUGGAAAACUCAUUGAACAUGAGUUCUAUUUCUGGUUUCAUUUAGGUGUUUACUAUCAUCUGUCACCAUGAUCAUCAUCAUCAGACUACCAUUUAUUAUUUCCUCUUUAUAUCUAUCUGUCUGUCUAUCUUCCGAUUCAUCCAUCUAGCUAUUUAUUCAUCUAUCCAUCCAUCUAUCUUUUGAUUCAUCCAUCUAUUGGUUCAUCCAUCUAUUUAGCCAUCCAUGGAUCAAUCUGUCAAUGCGUCCAUCUACUUAUCCAUUCAUCCAUAUCUAACUAUCCAUUCAUCUAUAUAUCCACCCAUUUAACUAUUCAUCCAUUCAUCCAUCUUCUAUUUGAUGGCUGAUGAUUUGUAAAUUUCUUUAUGAGAAUCAAUCAUAUUGUUAAUACUGUGAAUGACCAAGCAUACAUAUAAGAUCUGAGGGCUUUGUUAAUCAUAUUGAAUCUUAGACUUCAUCAUGCCAUUUUUUUUCCUUUAGACGUGAUUUGCAUCUUGAUCAUAUUUGUUCUACCUGUCACUUAAUGCAUAAUUAAGUAAUUAACAUUUUUCUUCCAUGGGAAUUAUUUUCUGUUUGUGUUAUUUUAAUCAUUGAAGCCUAUUUUAUAUUUGUGUUGAACUUCGAUCAUGCUCUUUUUGUUUCCUUCAUAUGUUUGUUUCAUCAAUUAUAUAAUUUGUCUUCUUGAAUUGUUGCUUUGAAAGGGUUAAGCAUUCCUUUGUGGUUCUUGUAAACCUUUCUGUGUUUAUUAUCUGCUAGUACUUAAGUAUGCUAAUGCUAGUUCUUAGUGAUUCAUUUUGGUUCUAUUCAACCUAACUAAUCAAUCUCUCAUUGCUUCCGAAACAUAAUAUCAAGUAUCCAAUGAUGAGAAGUUGUUGCAAAGGGUAUUUCUUUUGUUCUCUUUAUCUCUAUAUAAAUGAACUAAUGAGCCUAGCUAUUGUUGAAAUGUGAUACUGGGUAUUAUGUUCUUUUUUAAUUUUAUCUUCCUUUCAAGUUGUUUAGCUUUUUCAAGUACUCUUUGUGAUAUCUUUUCUUGUUUAAGUUUGGUCUUGCUUGCCCCUAGCAUUAUUCUGUAUUUUUGCUCAUUUCCCCCACUCUGCCAAGUGAUGGAUACUUUUUAGGUGCAUAGAGUUUGCUAUGGUAUUGUUGUUGAGCUGCAUCUUUUCUGCUAGCCAUCGUUGGUUUUGGCACUCCUCCUUGUAGUUGUUGUUGUUGCUGCUGAUGUUGCCGUUUCCAUUGCCAUUUCCAUUGCCAUUGCUAAUUAUCGUAUUUCUUAGCCUUGUGACUAUUGAUGGCACUAGUAGUAAUGGAUGUUGAAAGCUCUUCAUUAAAACUACAUAGCAUCACUGUUUAUGAAUUGGUGAUAUUAUCGAGUUUUGAUUCUGAGGGCGUUGCUAUUUCUUUUACCUUAUUUAGUGUUUAGUUUUUGAAGGUCUAGUGUUUUGCUGAGUUGAUGGCAUUGCCUGUUGCUGCAAGAGUGUAGAUAUACUCCUUUAUUUUACCUAAAGAGUUAGAUAUUUACCAAUUUACCAUUACUAAAUGAAAAUAUGGUUUCAAUGGGAUUAUCGGAAUUGGUGGAGUGUGACUGUUAGCAGAGAUCCCUGAAGAAGGUUGAAGCCGAUGCUGUGCCCACUGGUGUUUUGGCUAAGGGAAAUGAGAAGUCCUACGAAACAUAUUUAGUAUAACCCGUAAAGUUUGGAAUGUAAAUAGUAAAUUCUGGGCUAAGCAAAAAUCAAAAGAAUCAUACCUAUUGGGAGUCAUUAGCAGCAGGAGGCUGUGUUUGUCAUGGAUGGAUGAUUGCUUCUUGUAUCCCAUCUCCCAACUUCCCUUUGCAUCUUACCCAAAUCCAUUUCUGUAAAACAAAGAACCAAUGGUAUUUAAUGAGUUGCUCAACAAUAUCCUUAAGAAAAGGCCUGGAAAAGGAUAAACAAUCAAUUAAUUCAAAUACAAUUACUCACGGGAGAUGUCAAAAGUUAUUUGUCUAAGUACACAAGUGCAAUGCAGGUCUUAGCCUGUUAAAGAAGCUAAAGAUAGGGAUUCUCAUGGAAAAGUGGAAUGAUCAUCCUGCAGUCAUGUUUGUGGGUGUCAUGGAUGGAACUUCAGAAACCAUUUUCCAGAUGCUUGUCUCUUGGACCCUCAAGAUCAGAGCAAGUUGCCAAGUACUUUGUAUUUUUUGUCAGCUCUUAUACCCUUUUUCAAGAGCCAUUGUUUGAUUUCAAUAGCAAGUGGUACGUCAAUUCUAUGCAUACUUGUAAUGGUAGUAAAUUUAGCAUUGUGAUUCGUUGGAUUAGAUGGCAUUGUGAUUGUUAUUUUCUCAUUGGAUAACAUUUUAUGUGCCGUUGGAGCUUAUGUCUCACUGAAGUUGUAAUGGAGUGAAAAUGUGAACUUAAGUUUGAUGCAUGA